This 301-nucleotide ribosomal RNA is filed under the name uncultured bacterium. RNAcentral describes it as "partial 16S ribosomal RNA". It matches the Rfam family "Bacterial small subunit ribosomal RNA", at positions 509 to 807 of the family's 1533-position model. The record is from RNAcentral.
CAGCAGCCGCGGGAAUACGAAGGGGGCUAGCGUUGUUCGGAAUUACUGGGCGUAAAGCGCACGUAGGCGGAUAUCUAAGUCAGGGGUGAAAUCCCAGAGCUCAACUCUGGAACUGCCUUUGAUACUGGGUAUCUUGAGUAUGGAAGAGGUGAGUGGAAUUCCGAGUGUAGAGGUGAAAUUCGUAGAUAUUCGGAGGAACACCAGUGGCGAAGGCGGCUCACUGGUCCAUUACUGACGCUGAGGUGCGAAAGCGUGGGGAGCAAACAGGAUUAGAGACCCCUGUAGUCCCUGUCUCUUAUAC